GUGUGGCCCUGCUUCCUCUCGCCCGACACCUAGUAAGUCAAGGUAAUGAAGGUAAUGGGAGAUGAUGAUGUUCAUGGGAUCAAUAUCGCCUUGCCCGCAAGUGUAAUCUCCGUAGAGAACGUUCAUGGUGGAGCCAAAAGUAGGACCCCGUUUUUCCUCUGUGUCGUUCUUGGUUGGUUUCCAGUUGCCCACGAAAAUGUCGUGUGCUGAAGGUUGGUUCUUCUUGAUUGGGGUCAUCCACCUCCAGAUAGCGGCCUGGAAAGCAAUAGUUGCGUUCUGCUCGAGAUACUCAGGGUGGUGCAACAAAUCAACUUUUAUACCAUCGCCAGCAGCUCCAUAGUUGUAGUUCCUACAAUCGUAAAGCCACUAGUAGUACUCAGUGGUCAAAAACUACUAAUACAACUACAAAUCACCUCAAAAACCUAGCACAAACAUCCUAUGUUAUACACAGAGAUGCACACACACACACACACAUACAUAUGCAUCCUACAAGUUUCCCAAAAGAUGCACGUAAACUUGAACAGACACAUAGGUCAUUGAUCCAAAAACAAAAGGCACAGAUGAACUUGAACAGACACAUUCCUACUAUGUUACGUGGACUCAGUAUGAGUGUCAAACACGGAUAUACAACCAACAGGGAUAAGCUGAAGUUUCUCCAAGAUUCCUAUGUUUUUGGAGAGUUAUCGGAGGAACAUAUCUUAUAUCCAUAUCUAGAGAUAUACAAUGGAGCCAGACAUCAUUAUUUCAAGAAAGAUUGAAUCGUUUAAUCAGAAUAGUUACUCGAACAGGCAAUUCAAAAC
This 800-nucleotide long non-coding RNA is filed under the name Gossypium barbadense (sea-island cotton). RNAcentral's name for it is "long non-coding RNA (GBAR_LNC008669)". Lineage: Eukaryota; Viridiplantae; Streptophyta; Magnoliopsida; Malvales; Malvaceae. The record is from RNAcentral.